Molecule: unclassified non-coding RNA, 403 nt
Filed under: soil metagenome
Description: partial contains 5.8S ribosomal RNA, internal transcribed spacer 2, and large subunit ribosomal RNA
Rfam family: 5.8S ribosomal RNA (bases 1-121)
Source: RNAcentral
GAUGAAGAACGCAGCGAAAUGCGAUAAGUAAUGUGAAUUGCAGAAUUCAGUGAAUCAUUGAAUCUUUGAACGCACCUUGCGCCCUUUGGCUAUUCCGAAGGGCAUGCCUGUUUGAGUAUCAUGAACACCUCAACUCUCAUGGCUUGCCAUGAUGAGCUUGGACUUUUGGGGGUCUUGCUGGCCUGUGGUCAGCUCCUCUCAAAUGAAUUAGCCUGCCAGUGUUUGGUGGCAUCACAGGUGUGAUAACUAUCUACGCUUGUGGUUUUCCACCAGGUAACCUUCAGUGAUGAAGGUUCGCUGGGGCUCAUAAACGUCUCUCCUCAGUGAGGACAGCUCUUUGAACGUUUGAUCUCAAAUCAGGUAGGACUACCCGCUGAACUUAAGCAUAUCAAUAAGCGGAGGA